This 58-nucleotide transfer RNA is filed under the name Tyrophagus putrescentiae. RNAcentral's name for it is "tRNA-Arg". Lineage: Eukaryota; Metazoa; Arthropoda; Arachnida; Sarcoptiformes; Acaridae. The record is from RNAcentral.
GGGUAGCUUUCAGUGACUAGUUUCGACCUGGUUUUUUAAUAGCUAUGUAAUUUAUUCU